AUUCGUGUGGCGCAAUUGGUUAGCGUGUAAGGCUGUUAAUCUUGAGACCGCUGGUUCAAUCCCUGCCAUGAGCC
Non-coding RNA from Massospora cicadina, 74 nucleotides. NCBI's taxonomy places the organism in Eukaryota, Fungi, Entomophthoromycota, Entomophthoromycetes, Entomophthorales, Entomophthoraceae. The record is from the annotation of a GenBank genome assembly.